RNAcentral lists this ribosomal RNA (465 nucleotides) under uncultured beta proteobacterium. Its description in RNAcentral is "bacterial SSU rRNA". It matches the Rfam family "Bacterial small subunit ribosomal RNA", at positions 338 to 795 of the family's 1533-position model. Lineage: Bacteria; Pseudomonadati; Pseudomonadota; Betaproteobacteria. The record is from RNAcentral.
CCUACGGGAGGCAGCAGUGGGGAAUUUUGGACAAUGGGCGCAAGCCUGAUCCAGCCAUACCGCGUGAGUGAAGAAGGCCUUCGGGUUCUAAAGCUCUUUCAGCCGGAAAGAAAUCGCAYUGGUUAACACNNUGUGUGGAUGACGGUACCGGAAGAAGAAGCACCGGCUAACUACGUGCCAGCAGCCGCGGUAAUACGUAGGGUGCGAGCGUUAAUCGGAAUUACUGGGCGUAAAGCGUGCGCAGGCGGUUUUGUAAGACAGAUGUGAAAUCCCCGGGCUCAACCUGGGAACUGCAUUUGUGACUGCVAGACUAGAGURUAGCAGAGGGGGGUAGAAUUCCACGUGUAGCAGUGAAAUGCGUAGADAUGUGGAGGAAUACCGAUGGCGAAGGCAGCCCCCUGGGCUAACACUGACGCUCAUGCACGAAAGCGUGGGGAGCAAACAGGAUUAGAUACCCUGGUAGUC